AUAUUCAGGGUAGCAAUAUUCUGGAUGUUCAGCGGCGCAAGGGUGCGUAACACGUGGGUAAUCUGCCGUGAAGCCCGGAAUAACUCGCUGAAAGGCGAGCUAAUACCGGAUGUGAAGUUUGGAAGGCAUCUUUUGGACUUCAAAGCUGGGGACCGUAAGGCCUGGCACUUCACGAUGAGCCCGCGGCCUAUCAGCUAGUUGGUGAGGUAAUGGCUCACCAAGGCUAAGACGGGUAGCUGGUCUGAGAGGACGACCAGCCACACUGGAACUGAGACACGGUCCAGACACCUACGGGUGGCAGCAGUCGAGAAUUUUUCACAAUGGGCGAAAGCCUGAUGGAGCGACGCCGCGUGGGGGAUGAAUGGCUUCGGCCCGUAAACCCCUGUCAUUUGCGAACAAGUUGUUUCACCUAACACGUGAAGCAUUGAUAGUAGCGAAAGAGGAAGGGACGGCUAACUCUGUGCCAGCAGCCGCGGUAAUACAGAGGUCCCAAGCGUUGUUCGGAUUCACUGGGCGUAAAGGGUGCGUAGGCGGUCGGGUAAGUCUGACGUGAAAUCUCCAAGCUCAACUUGGAAAUGGCGUAGGAUACUAUUCGGCUCGAGGAAUGGAGGGGAGACUGGAAUUCUCGGUGUAGCAGUGAAAUGCGUAGAUAUCGAGAGGAACACCAGUGGCGAAGGCGAGUCUCUGGACAUUUCCUGACGCUGAGGCACGAAAGCCAGGGGAGCAAACGGGAUUAGAUACCCCGGUAGUCCUGGCCCUAAACGGUGCACGUUUGCUGUAAGAGGAAUCGACCCCUUUUGUGGCGAAGCUAACGCGUUAAACGUG
RNAcentral lists this ribosomal RNA (825 nucleotides) under uncultured Verrucomicrobiota bacterium. Its description in RNAcentral is "bacterial SSU rRNA". It matches the Rfam family "Bacterial small subunit ribosomal RNA", at positions 67 to 868 of the family's 1533-position model. The record is from RNAcentral. Lineage: Bacteria; Pseudomonadati; Verrucomicrobiota.